RNAcentral lists this long non-coding RNA (1355 nucleotides) under Chrysolophus pictus (golden pheasant). RNAcentral describes it as "lncRNA (ENSCPIG00010008666.1)". The record is from RNAcentral. Lineage: Eukaryota; Metazoa; Chordata; Aves; Galliformes; Phasianidae.
GCGCUGUCGCAAACACCUCAGCCGACAGCGGCGCGCUUUGCGGCCGUAGGAAGACGGCGGGAGGAAAGGAGGCCUGGGGGCGGAGCUUAGGUGACACAUCCGGUGGGCGGGGCUUAAAUGACAUAUCCCGGGGCGGGACUUAGAUGACACAUCCGGGGCGGGGACAAGGGGACAAGGUAAAGAGGGCGUGGCUUAGUGUCACGUCCGGGGCGGGGCUUAGAGGACAAGCUAAAGGGGCGGGGCUUGGGGGACAAGUCUGGGGGGCGGGGCUUAGCGGACAGCCUCGUGGCAGUCUCGAGACUCUGCUGCCCAGCAGGAAGGUGUCAUGUCUGCAGGCUUCCAGCCUAAGCCAUUCCAUGAUUCCUGCCUUCUCCACGCCUGUGUGAAGGUCACCCUGUCAGGUAGCUGUAACCUGCCUUGGUGUUGUGAAGUUGAGCUGAAGCAGACUGCCAGCGUGAGCUCCUCCAGAGAUCUGUCAGGAAAUCCUUUGGAAUCUUGGCAGUUUUUCCUUAGAGAAGGAUGAAAAAGACUCAGUCUGGUUUUUUUUGUUUUGUUUUUUUCCUCCUAGAAGAGCCAGUUAGUAAUCUACUUCACUGUCUUUUGUUUCAGUCUUCUUUUCUUAAAUGUUCCCAAUCAAAUCCUUGGGUACUUGAGACCAGUAAUUUUUUCAUUAACCUUUUCUUCGGCUAAAAGCCAGAAUCCUGUAAUGCGAAGAGUAAUGAAAGUAGUUACUGUAAACUAAUUAACCUUCUGUUUUGUUGCAUUGCAGAUUAACUUUACAAAGCCUUUCAUUUCUUUUUAUUCUGGAAGUUGCCUUUUCUGCUCUGGAAGCCAAUCUAGAGGGGGAGGCUGUGAUGAAAUCUCUCUCUUUGUCUUUCCUCUCUGUUCUGCAGACUCACAUGUCACAUUCUCAAUGUAGGUUUCUUUCCACCAGUUCACAUCUGUGAGAAUGCUGUCCCCUGAACAGCUGUGCUUACUAGUUAGAGCAAUUGCUUAUCUUGAAAAUAUGUUAAAAUUUUGUUCUUGCACUUCUACUUUGCAUGCCUGUAACAUUACAAAAUCCCACAAUCUUUUUUUUUUUUCUUUUGCCACAAAUGUGAAAGUCAUUUAUAAUGUGUUUAGAAAGCUCCGUGUGCAUGCAGUGUUUGUUCUGACACUUGUCUAAAUUAAUAUGGCAGACAGUGAUAGUUCUGGGUCACAGGCCAAAAUGUGCAAAUGACUGAGAUCUUCUGUUCUUAGUGGAUGCUCAGCAAAUCCUGAUGUCAGGCCUGAGAAGAUGGGAGAAAAUCAGAAAAAGGAUGUAGCUGUUCUACAGAGUGCACCAAGUUCUCUCUCAUGACCUCAGUAGAACCGCA